Molecule: unclassified non-coding RNA, 219 nt
Filed under: Hevea brasiliensis (rubber tree)
Lineage: Eukaryota; Viridiplantae; Streptophyta; Magnoliopsida; Malpighiales; Euphorbiaceae
Source: RNAcentral
UUAACAGAGACGUAAUGGAAAAGUUGUUUCAUGCCAUUGAUGAACUCGUCAAGAUCAAUAGAAUUAUCAAGAGAUGUAUCAAAAUCUUUCAUUACUUUAUCCACGGCAUCAUCCCUAUCAAAGUCAAUCUCUUCAAACCGAAUUCCUAAGAUCAGCGCUCUCAUUUCAGAAGCUGAGAGUUUUUCAUCAUUAUUCUCAUCAAUAGCAUGAAACAACUUU